GCUGGCGGCAUGCCUUACACAUGCAAGUCGAACGGUAACAGGGAGCUUGCUCCGCUGACGAGUGGCGAACGGGUGAGUAAUGUAUCGGAACGUACCAUUCAGUGGGGGAUAACGUAGCGAAAGUUACGCUAAUACCGCAUAUUCUGUGAGCAGGAAAGCAGGGGAUCGCAAGACCUUGCGCUGAUUGAGCGGCCGAUAUCAGAUUAGCUAGUUGGUGAGGUAAAGGCCCACCAAGGCGACGAUCUGUAGCGGGUCUGAGAGGAUGAUCCGCCACACUGGAACUGAGACACGGUCCAGACUCCUACGGGAGGCAGCAGUGGGGAAUUUUGGACAAUGGGGGCAACCCUGAUCCAGCCAUGCCGCGUGAAUGAAGAAGGCCUUCGGGUUGUAAAGCUCUUUCGGCCGGGAAAAAAUCGCAUGGGUUAAUACCCUGUGUGGAUGAUGGUACCGGAAUAAG
Molecule: ribosomal RNA, 457 nt
Filed under: uncultured Rhodocyclaceae bacterium
Lineage: Bacteria; Pseudomonadati; Pseudomonadota; Betaproteobacteria; Rhodocyclales; Rhodocyclaceae
Description: bacterial SSU rRNA
Rfam family: Bacterial small subunit ribosomal RNA
Source: RNAcentral